GAUGAACGCUGGCGGCGUGCCUAAUACAUGCAAGUCGAGCGAACAGACGAGGAGCUUGCUCCUCUGACGUUAGCGGCGGACGGGUGAGUAACACGUAGGUAACCUACCUAUAAGACUGGGAUAACUUCGGGAAACCGGAGCUAAUACCGGAUAAUAUUUCGAACCGCAUGGUUCAAUAGUGAAAGAUGGCUUUGCUAUCACUUAUAGAUGGAUCUGCGCCGUAUUAGCUAGUUGGUAAGGUAACGGCUUACCAAGGCAACGAUACGUAGCCGACCUGAGAGGGUGAUCGGCCACACUGGAACUGAGACACGGUCCAGACUCCUACGGGAGGCAGCAGUAGGGAAUCUUCCGCAAUGGGCGAAAGCCUGACGGAGCAACGCCGCGUGAGUGAUGAAGGUCUUCGGAUCGUAAAACUCUGUUAUUAGGGAAGAACAAACGUGUAAGUAACUGUGCACGUCUUGACGGUACCUAAUCAGAAAGCCACGGCUAACUACGUG
Molecule: ribosomal RNA, 497 nt
Filed under: uncultured bacterium
Lineage: Bacteria
Description: partial 16S ribosomal RNA
Rfam family: Bacterial small subunit ribosomal RNA
Source: RNAcentral